CGCUCAGAUUGAACGCUGGCGGCAGGCCUAACACAUGCAAGUCGAGCGGCAGCGGAAAGUAGCUUGCUACUUUGCCGGCGAGCGGCGGACGGGUGAGUAAUGUCUGGGAAACUGCCUGAUGGAGGGGGAUAACUACUGGAAACGGUAGCUAAUACCGCAUGACCUCGAAAGAGCAAAGUGGGGGAUCUUCGGACCUCACGCCAUCGGAUGUGCCCAGAUGGGAUUAGCUAGUAGGUGAGGUAAUGGCUCACCUAGGCGACGAUCCCUAGCUGGUCUGAGAGGAUGACCAGCCACACUGGAACUGAGACACGGUCCAGACUCCUACGGGAGGCAGCAGUGGGGAAUAUUGCACAAUGGGCGCAAGCCUGAUGCAGCCAUGCCGCGUGUGUGAAGAAGGCCUUAGGGUUGUAAAGCACUUUCAGCGAGGAGGAAGGCAUCAUACUUAAUACGUGUGGUGAUUGACGUUACUCGCAGAAGAAGCACCGGCUAACUCCGUGCCAUGCAGCCGCGGUAAUACGGAGGGUGCAAGCGUUAAUCGGAAUUACUGGGCGUAAAGCGCACGCAGGCGGUUUGUUAAGUCAGAUGUGAAAUCCCCGCGCUUAACGUGGGAACUGCAUUUGAAACUGGCAAGCUAGAGUCUUGUAGAGGGGGGUAGAAUUCCAGGUGUAGCGGUGAAAUGCGUAGAGAUCUGGAGGAAUACCGGUGGCGAAGGCGGCCCCCUGGACAAAGACUGACGCUCA
Molecule: ribosomal RNA, 740 nt
Filed under: Rahnella sp. R4
Lineage: Bacteria; Pseudomonadati; Pseudomonadota; Gammaproteobacteria; Enterobacterales; Yersiniaceae
Description: bacterial SSU rRNA
Rfam family: Bacterial small subunit ribosomal RNA
Source: RNAcentral